AGGAUUAACGCUGGCGGCGUGCCUAAUACAUGCAAGUCGAACGGACCUUUAUUUUUGAGAACUCCUUUAUGGGAUGUCUCAUAAAUAAUGGUUAGUGGCGGACGGGUGAGUAACACGUUGGUACCUGCCCUCUAGUGGGGAAUAACUGGCCGAAAGGUCGGCUAAUACCGCAUGUGGUCGAAAGAUCAAAGCAGUAAUGCGCUAGAGGAGGGGCCUGCGUCUGAUUAGCUAGUUGGUAGUGUAAUGGACUACCAAGGCGACGAUCAGUAGCUGGUUCGAGAGGAUGACCAGCCACACUGGGACUGAGAUACGGCCCAGACUCCUACGGGAGGCAGCAGUAAGGAAUCUUCCACAAUGGACGAAAGUCUGAUGGAGCAACGCCGCGUGCAGGAUGACGGUCUUCGGAUUGUAAACUGCUUUUAUUGGGAAGAUUAUGACGGUACCAAAUGAAUAAGGACCGGCUAACUACGUGCCAGCAGCCGC
RNAcentral lists this ribosomal RNA (483 nucleotides) under uncultured bacterium. RNAcentral's name for it is "SSU rRNA". It matches the Rfam family "Bacterial small subunit ribosomal RNA", at positions 26 to 518 of the family's 1533-position model. The record is from RNAcentral.